This 318-nucleotide unclassified non-coding RNA is filed under the name fungal sp. RNAcentral's name for it is "partial internal transcribed spacer region". The stretch from base 1 to 46 matches the Rfam family "Eukaryotic small subunit ribosomal RNA", at positions 1786 to 1831 of the family's 1831-position model. The record is from RNAcentral. Lineage: Eukaryota; Fungi.
AAGUCGUAACAAGGUAACCGUAGGUGAACCUGCGGUUGGAUCAUUAAUAAAAUUGAUCUUCCAGCUUUCCAGCACAUGCUACAUUUCGGUGUAACGUGGGCUGCAGGCUAGGAGGCAACUCACUCGUUGUUAGUGAGUGUCUGACAUUUUGUGAACUGUACCUGUCUCUGGCAGGGGGGUGGCCUGAAAAUCCACCUGUCUAACUCUGUUGGACAACUCUGCCAGCCACCUUGUCAUACACAUUUUGGUUAUGUCUUAAAACUUGUAUUUUCAUAAUGCAAACAAAAACAACUUUUGGCAACGGAUCUCUUGGCUCUC